AGAGUUUGAUCAUGGCUCAGGACGAACGCUGGCGGCGUGCUUAACACAUGCAAGUCGAGCGGAAAGGCCCUUCGGGGUACUCGAGCGGCGAACGGGUGAGUAACACGUGAGUAACCUGCCCUGGACUUUGGGAUAACCCUCGGAAACGGGGGCUAAUACCGGAUACGACACGGUCUUGCAUGAGAUCCGUGUGGAAAGUUUUUCGGUCUGGGAUGGGCUCGCGGCCUAUCAGCUUGUUGGUGGGGUGAUGGCCUACCAAGGCGACGACGGGUAGCCGGCCUGAGAGGGCGACCGGCCACACUGGGACUGAGACACGGCCCAGACUCCUACGGGAGGCAGCAGUGGGGAAUAUUGCACAAUGGGCGGAAGCCUGAUGCAGCGACGCCGCGUGAGGGAUGACGGCCCUCGGGGUGUAAACCUCUUUCAGCAGGGACGAAGCGUGAGUGACGGUACCUGCAGAAGAAGCGCCGGCCAACUACGUGCCAGCCGCCGCGGUAAUAC
RNAcentral lists this ribosomal RNA (501 nucleotides) under uncultured bacterium. Its description in RNAcentral is "bacterial SSU rRNA". It matches the Rfam family "Bacterial small subunit ribosomal RNA", at positions 8 to 526 of the family's 1533-position model. The record is from RNAcentral.